UUUUGAAUUCACUUUCAGGAAUUUUUGCUCCUCUCAGCUGCAGCCUGCUGCAGAUAAACAAAUCGUUGUAGAGCAGGACAACUCUCUCUAUGUGUUUUAUUCUUUUAUAAAUGAAAUCUAAGCACUAAUAAUUGCACAAAAAUAUAGAGAUAGAGAUAGAGAGGGGGUGAGAUCUGUAUACCCAAGAUUAUUUGCGGCUUGGUGAAAAUGGUCGUACCUAAGCGGAGGAAGCACUGACAUAGACGGACGGAGGGCGGACAGGGGGGAGGUGGAUGGAGGCGCAGCAGAUAAGAGGGAGGCGGCGCGGCGGACUGGAAUUCAGGGCGAGGCGGAUUGGAAUUCAAGCGCACAGAGGAGACGCUGAAGUAGGCAGACGGAGGCGGAUCGGGGAGAAGCGAAUGGCGGCGAGGCAGACAGGGAGAGGCGGGGCGGCGGACUGGGAUUCAGAGGUAGGGCGGAUGAUUUGAUAGGAGGCAGAGGUAGAUUAAGGGGCUGUGCAGACGGAGUCAGGCCGAGGGCGCGUCGGACCGGAAAGGAGGCUGCCGGAUGCGCGUCGGAGCGGGGAGGCGGCGCGGCGGACUGGAGGCUGGGG
Molecule: long non-coding RNA, 592 nt
Filed under: Salvia miltiorrhiza (redroot sage)
Lineage: Eukaryota; Viridiplantae; Streptophyta; Magnoliopsida; Lamiales; Lamiaceae
Description: long non-coding RNA (SMIL_LNC007221)
Source: RNAcentral